CGGGAGGCAGCAGUUUCGAAUCAUUCACAAUGGGCGAAAGCCUGAUGAUGCAAUGCCGCGUGGAGGAUGACGGCCCUAGGGUUGUAAACUCCUGUCAUUAGGGAACAACAAGUAGGUUCAUAGCCUACUCUGAGUUAACCUAAAGAGGAAGAGGUGGCUAACUCCGUGCCAGCAGCCGCGGUAAUACGGAGACCUCGAGCGUUACUCGGAUUUACUGGGCGUAAAGGGUGAGCAGGCGGCCAGGUGUGUUAGGUGUGAAAUCCCGGGGCUUAACCCCGGAACUGCGCCUAAAACUACCUGGCUAGAGUCUCGGAGAGGACAGUGGAAUUCUAGGUGUAGCGGUGAAAUGCGUAGAUAUCUAGAGGAACACCAGUGGCGAAGGCGACUGUCUGGACGAGUACUGACGCUCAAUCACGAAAGCGUGGGUAGCGAAAGGGAUUAGAUACCCCUGUAGUCCACGCCGUAAACGUUGUGCACUAAGUUUCGGAGGAUUCGACCCCUUCGGAGCUCAAGCUAACGCGUUAAGUGCACCGCCUGAGGACUACGGCCGCAAGGCUAAAACUCAAAGGAAUUG
RNAcentral lists this ribosomal RNA (574 nucleotides) under uncultured bacterium. RNAcentral's name for it is "bacterial SSU rRNA". It matches the Rfam family "Bacterial small subunit ribosomal RNA", at positions 342 to 912 of the family's 1533-position model. The record is from RNAcentral.